Molecule: ribosomal RNA, 450 nt
Filed under: uncultured bacterium
Lineage: Bacteria
Description: partial 16S ribosomal RNA
Rfam family: Bacterial small subunit ribosomal RNA
Source: RNAcentral
GUGGGGAAUAUUGGACAAUGGGCGAAAGCCUGAUCCAGCCAUGCCGCGUGUGUGAAGAAGGUCUUCGGAUUGUAAAGCACUUUAAGUUGGGAGGAAGGGCAGUAAGUUAAUACCUUGCUGUUUUGACGUUACCGACAGAAUAAGCACCGGCUAACUUCGUGCCAGCAGCCGCGGUAAUACGAAGGGUGCAAGCGUUAAUCGGAAUUACUGGGCGUAAAGCGCGCGUAGGUGGUUUUGUAAGUUGGAGGUGAAAUCCCCGGGCUCAACCUGGGAACUGCCUCCAAAACUGCAUGACUAGAGUACGGUAGGGGGUAGUGGAAUUUCCUGUGUAGCGGUGAAAUGCGUAGAUAUAGGAAGGAACACCAGUGGCGAAGGCGACUACCUGGACUGAUACUGACACUGAGGUGCGAAAGCGUGGGGAGCAAACAGGAUUAGAUACCCUAGUAGUCC